This 71-nucleotide transfer RNA is filed under the name Marmota monax (woodchuck). RNAcentral describes it as "tRNA.Val". Lineage: Eukaryota; Metazoa; Chordata; Mammalia; Rodentia; Sciuridae. The record is from RNAcentral.
GGGGUUGUGGCUCAAUGGUAGAGUGCUCACCUAACACAUGCGAGGCGCUGGGUUCGGUCCUCAGCACCACA